CAGCAAUGCAACUAUCUCUUUAUCUAUAGAGACAAAAGAAAGAUAUUACAGAAUGAUCACUCUGAAUGGCCGCCCAUCCAUGUAAAUAUCUCUAUUUGUAAAGACAAAAGAAUGAGGUUUAAUCACCGUCUUAAUGUGUAGUGACUGGGUUUAUUUGUGAAGAUACUGAUGAAUGAAAACAUGGUUCAACCCAAAAGAAAACCUGUCAGCUUGAGCUUUAUUUUAUAUAGCUUUGUUCUUUCAACUUUAUGUACAAAAGCAAAUAGAAAUAACUAUAUUUUGUAAAAAAAAUUUCCUGAAUUUUGCGCCAUCUGGCUUUCUCUAUGGUUCCCUACUGCCGUCUAACUCCACCUGCCACCUGAAAGAAAAAAAUAAUAAAUUUAAAGGAAGCAAGGAGCCACAAACCGUAGAGGCUAAGCGAAGAAGACCUUCAUCGACGUCGAACUCUACCUGCCGCCAUAUACCGCCAUAUACCGCCAACCUACCGC
Long non-coding RNA from Ictalurus punctatus (channel catfish), 488 nucleotides. The record is from Ensembl. NCBI's taxonomy places the organism in Eukaryota, Metazoa, Chordata, Actinopteri, Siluriformes, Ictaluridae.